RNAcentral lists this ribosomal RNA (253 nucleotides) under uncultured prokaryote. Its description in RNAcentral is "partial 16S ribosomal RNA". It matches the Rfam family "Bacterial small subunit ribosomal RNA", at positions 525 to 777 of the family's 1533-position model. The record is from RNAcentral.
ACGGGGGGUGCGAGCGUUGUCCGGAAUCACUGGGCGUAAAGGGCGCGUAGGUGGUCUGAUAAGGGUGUGGUGAAAGCCCCGGGCUCAACCCGGGAACGGCGCUCGAGACUCCGGCUCUUGAGUCCCGGAGAGGCGGGUGGAAUUCCUGGUGUAGCGGUGAAAUGUGUAGAGAUCAGGAGGAACACCGGUGGCGCAGGCGGCCCGCUGGACGGAGACUGACGCUGAGGCGCGAAAGCGUGGGGAGCAAACGGGA